This 474-nucleotide ribosomal RNA is filed under the name uncultured bacterium. RNAcentral describes it as "bacterial SSU rRNA". It matches the Rfam family "Bacterial small subunit ribosomal RNA", at positions 368 to 842 of the family's 1533-position model. The record is from RNAcentral.
UCAAUGGGCGAGACCCUGAACCAGCCAAGUAGCGUGAAGGAUGACUGCCCUAUGGGUUGUAAACUUCUUUUAUAAAGGAAUAAAGUCGGGUAUGCAUACCCGUUUGCAUGUACUUUAUGAAUAAGGAUCGGCUAACUCCGUGCCAGCAGCCGCGGUAAUACGGAGGAUCCGAGCGUUAUCCGGAUUUAUUGGGUUUAAAGGGAGCGUAGAUGGAUGUUUAAGUCAGUUGUGAAAGUUUGCGGCUCAACCGUAAAAUUGCAGUUGAUACUGGAUAUCUUGAGUGCAGUUGAGGCAGGCGGAAUUCGUGGUGUAGCGGUGAAAUGCUUAGAUAUCACGAAGAACUCCGAUUGCGAAGGCAGCCUGCUAAGCUGCAACUGACAUUGAGGCUCGAAAGUGUGGGUAUCAAACAGGAUUAGAUACCCUGGUAGUCCACACGGUAAACGAUGAAUACUCGCUGUUUGCGAUAUACUGCAA